UACGUAGGGGGCAAGCGUUGUCCGGAUUUAUUGGGCGUAAAGAGCUCGUAGGCGGUUUCGUAAGUCGGGUGUGAAAACUCUGGGCUCAACCCAGAGACGCCACCCGAUACUGCGAUGACUAGAGUCUGGUAGGGGAUCGUGGAAUUCCUGGUGUAGCGGUGAAAUGCGCAGAUAUCAGGAGGAACACCAGCGGCGAAGGCGGCGAUCUGGGCCAGUACUGACGCUGAGGAGCGAAAGCUAGGGUAGCAAAUGGG
This 254-nucleotide ribosomal RNA is filed under the name uncultured bacterium. RNAcentral's name for it is "partial 16S ribosomal RNA". It matches the Rfam family "Bacterial small subunit ribosomal RNA", at positions 524 to 776 of the family's 1533-position model. The record is from RNAcentral.